UGGAGAUCAUAGCUCACUGCAACCUCAAACUCCUGACACAAGCAAUCCUUCUGCCUCAGCCUCCCAAGCAACUGUGACUACAGGUGGUUCCUAACUUCCUGGCAACAACCACAAUUGUAAUUCGUUCAAAGAGAUUGACUGCUGUGGAGACAGAUCAUCACCAUCACCAUCACCAUCACCAUCACCACCACCACCAUCAUCAUCAUUGUCAUCGUCAUCAUUAUGUUGCUUUUAGCUCACUGGAGCCUCACAGAACCCUGUGAGGGCAUGGACAGAUCUUCCUCAGAGGAGGCCUCAGCAAGUGUCAGCCACACGAAUGAGUGUAUGGAGCAAAGGAGGAGUGAACGUCUAGGAGACCAGCCGUUACCCCAACUCCUCCCCAUCCGCUCCUACUCUGGACUCCAAUCUAUGCCCUACCCCAGCUCUUGGAUUUGGCCUUUGGAUCAGGUUCUUCUGGUAAUGAAGCCUCACCUUUCCCCCAACUAACUCUGAUCUGGCCUACCCUGCUCCUGACUAACCUCAAGGAUCCUGAGUCUCCUUCAGCCUAACAGCUCCAGAAGCUGAACUCCAGCCCUAAGAGCCCCAGCUGCAGACAGGCCUCUGGCCAAGAGCUUAGUCAGGCUACCCUGACUAAGCCACAGGGUUGGCAUGCCCUCUGGGCAGCCCCUGAACCGGGCUCUGAAAACACAGGAAUGGACAAGGUAAUCUACCCGAGUCCUGAGCCUGCAAGGUAGUUGAGACAGAUCUUGAAGGAGAGUGGGCACAGUCAGAAAGGAAAAAGUGGCUCAGUGUAAAAUAAAACUGACACAAGCCCAUGUACCAGCAGCCAAUUGGAUCUUUUUUUUUUUUUUUUUUUUGAGAUGGGGCUUCUCUUAUUGCCCAGGCUGGUCUUGAACUUCUGAGCUCAAGCGAUCCUCCCACCUUGGCCUACCAAAGUGCUGGGAUUACAGGCGUGAACCACCAAUUGGAUCUUUACUGGACCCCUACAGGGCACUGAGCUAGGGAAUGUUGGAGAUUCAGAGGCUGAAUCAGAUAGCAGCCCAACCCUGAGAUACAACUGAGCUACAGGCAAGAGGAUACUACCGGGCGCAGUGGCUCACACCUGUAAUCCCAGCACUUUGGGAGGCCGAGGCGGGUGGAUCAUGUGAGGCCAGGAGUUCGAGAAUACCCUGGCCAACAUGGUGAAACCCCAUCUCUAUUAAAAAUACAAAAAUUAGCUGGGGUUGGUGGCACAUGCCUGUAAACCUAGCUACUUGAGAGGCUGAGACACGAG
RNAcentral lists this long non-coding RNA (1273 nucleotides) under Homo sapiens (human). RNAcentral describes it as "HSALNT0006841". The record is from RNAcentral. Lineage: Eukaryota; Metazoa; Chordata; Mammalia; Primates; Hominidae.